Molecule: unclassified non-coding RNA, 181 nt
Filed under: uncultured fungus
Lineage: Eukaryota; Fungi
Description: sequence contains ITS1
Source: RNAcentral
UUAUUAUUAUUUGUUUUGUGUUUUAUAACGUUCAAUGACUUGUAAGUGUUUAAAAGGUGGGUGCUUGAUUGCGCAAGUCCCAGUUGUAGUGCACAGAGUUGGAGAUGAAGGUCAGGUCCCUCUGAUGAAGAGGACACCCUAAGAUUCAUUAAUGAUCCUUCCGCAGGUUCACCUACGGAAA